This 300-nucleotide ribosomal RNA is filed under the name uncultured Gammaproteobacteria bacterium. RNAcentral's name for it is "bacterial SSU rRNA". It matches the Rfam family "Bacterial small subunit ribosomal RNA", at positions 114 to 423 of the family's 1533-position model. Lineage: Bacteria; Pseudomonadati; Pseudomonadota; Gammaproteobacteria. The record is from RNAcentral.
UGCUUGGGAAUUUGCCUUUGGGUGGGGGACAACAGUUGGAAACGACUGCUAAUACCGCAUAUUGUCUACGGACUAAAGAGGGCUUCGGCUCUCGCCUUUAGAGGAGCCCAAGUGGGAUUAGAUAGUUGGUGGGGUAAAGGCUCACCAAGUCAGCGAUCCCUAGCUGGUCUGAGAGGAUGAUCAGCCACACUGGAACUGAGACACGGUCCAGACUCCUACGGGAGGCAGCAGUGGGGAAUAUUGCACAAUGGGCGCAAGCCUGAUCCAGCAAUGCCGCGUGAGUGAAGAAGGCCUUCGGUU